This 216-nucleotide ribosomal RNA is filed under the name Glomeromycotina sp. RNAcentral describes it as "partial small subunit ribosomal RNA". The stretch from base 44 to 216 matches the Rfam family "Eukaryotic small subunit ribosomal RNA", at positions 690 to 864 of the family's 1831-position model. Lineage: Eukaryota; Fungi; Glomeromycota. The record is from RNAcentral.
GGGUCAGUAGGUUGGUCGUGCCACCGGUACGUACUGGUCUCACUGAUUCCUCCUUCCUGAAGAACCGUAAUGCCAUUAAUUUGGUGUUGCGGGGAAACAGGACUGCUACUUUGAAAAAAUUAGAGUGCUUAAAGCAAGCUAACGCUUGAAUACAUUAGCAUGGAAUAAUGAAAUAGGACGAUCGAUCCUAUUUUGUUGGUUUCUAGGAUUGACGUA